Long non-coding RNA from Portunus trituberculatus (swimming crab), 361 nucleotides. RefSeq lists it as uncharacterized. The transcript is spliced from 3 exons. NCBI's taxonomy places the organism in Eukaryota, Metazoa, Arthropoda, Malacostraca, Decapoda, Portunidae. The record is from RefSeq and is a predicted model, not a curated record.
AUGCUACACAGUGAAAUCCAAGUUGGUCCUCCAUCCAAGGUCUGCCAAAUUGUAGAGGUUUGUGCAUUGCUGCACAACAUCUGCAAAGCAAGAAACAUCAUUCUUCCUGAGAAAGAAGAACAUCUUGCCGCAGCCGAGGAUGGAGGCAACGAGGAGCGACCCCCAGCACAGAAAGUUCAAAGUCGCCAUGAAGGAAUCCUUUACAGGGAUGAAUUUGUUGUGCUUCACUUCAACAUUGCUGAGUGAUGAGACACCAGUGUCAUGACUGCUGAGAUUGGUGUUAUUCUCAUGUGGAUGAUCUCCUCCUCAUCCACAUACACCAGUGAUGUACCAGGCAAAUCUGGCCCCUGUUGGUGCCCCA